This 29-nucleotide ribosomal RNA is filed under the name uncultured fungus. RNAcentral's name for it is "partial 5.8S ribosomal RNA". The record is from RNAcentral. Lineage: Eukaryota; Fungi.
CAACUUUUACAACGGAUCUCUUGGCUCUC